CGAAAUGCGAUAAGUAAUGNGAAUUNCAGAAUUCAGUGAAUCAUCGAAUCUUUGAACGCACCUUGCG
RNAcentral lists this ribosomal RNA (67 nucleotides) under uncultured Tricholomataceae. Its description in RNAcentral is "partial 5.8S ribosomal RNA". It matches the Rfam family "5.8S ribosomal RNA", at positions 49 to 115 of the family's 154-position model. Rfam says of the family: 5.8S ribosomal RNA (5.8S rRNA) is a component of the large subunit of the eukaryotic ribosome. It is transcribed by RNA polymerase I as part of the 45S precursor that also contains 18S and 28S rRNA. Lineage: Eukaryota; Fungi; Basidiomycota; Agaricomycetes; Agaricales; Tricholomataceae. The record is from RNAcentral. RNAcentral also lists the same sequence under 1 other name.